This is a long non-coding RNA of Lagopus muta (rock ptarmigan), 692 nucleotides long. RefSeq lists it as uncharacterized. Lineage: Eukaryota; Metazoa; Chordata; Aves; Galliformes; Phasianidae. The transcript has 3 exons. The record is from RefSeq and is a predicted model, not a curated record.
GGCGCUUCCCGCCUAAACGGCCGCCAGCAGCGGGCAGUCCCCGCGGCUUCCGGAGCGGAGCGAGGCGCUUUCUAGAACGCUCGAUGGGGGGGAAGGCGGUGAGGAGCCUUCGAGGAGAGAUGGCUCGUCCUGUCAGUCGAGGUUUCUGCGGCUCUGAGGGCUCUUCAUACAGUGAGGAGCUGAAGGAAGAACCCUUGUCCCUUCCUGUUCACCUUCCUAAGAUGCCUUCUGCUUGUGUAGAAACGUUGUGUCCAAGAAAGAACUCCUGAUGUUACGUUGUGCAGCUGUGGUACCACGUGUUCAGCGUGGGUAUAGAGGAGAUUGAAGAAGUAUGAAAGUAUGAAGUAUGAAACUUCAAAACCACGAUGAAUUUCGUAUUGCACUGGCACAUAUUCAGAAGUUCUUACAAGUAAUCUGUGAUUUAUCCAUGUAGUAAUACUGAAAUACAUGAAUAGUUGAAAAAGAUCAGAUAUAUGAAGUCCUGUCCGGUGGUCUGGAAAGGAAAAGGAAGAGGAAACCUGGAAAAAAACGUUGGGAGAUGUUUGUUGAUGCUCCAAGAUGCAAACAUCUGAUCCAAGUCACUCUGAAGAAAGAGUUGAGACAGAAGAGAAAAGGAUUAAUGCAUGUAACCUUUGCUACAGUCAGUAACGGAGCCCUAAACUGCAUUAUAAUUUCUGAUGCUGUCCGUUGCA